GCCUUGCUGAUCCAGUCAGUAGAGGAUGUGACUCUUAAUCUCAUGGUUGUGAGUUCAAGUCCCAUGUUGGGCA
This 73-nucleotide transfer RNA is filed under the name Felis catus (domestic cat). It matches the Rfam family "tRNA". Rfam says of the family: Transfer RNA (tRNA) molecules are approximately 80 nucleotides in length. Their secondary structure includes four short double-helical elements and three loops (D, anti-codon, and T loops). Further hydrogen bonds mediate the characteristic L-shaped molecular structure. tRNAs have two regions of fundamental functional importance: the anti-codon, which is responsible for specific mRNA codon recognition, and the 3' end, to which the tRNAs corresponding amino acid is attached (by aminoacyl-tRNA synthetases). tRNAs cope with the degeneracy of the genetic code in two manners: having more than one tRNA (with a specific anti-codon) for a particular amino acid; and 'wobble' base-pairing, i.e. permitting non-standard base-pairing at the 3rd anti-codon position. The record is from Rfam by way of RNAcentral. Lineage: Eukaryota; Metazoa; Chordata; Mammalia; Carnivora; Felidae.